GCUCCGGUGGCCUAGUGGUUAGAGCGUCCACCUCGGAUGCAGGAAGUCAUGGGUUGGAACCCUGGCCGAGUCA
Molecule: non-coding RNA, 73 nt
Organism: Potamilus streckersoni
Lineage: Eukaryota; Metazoa; Mollusca; Bivalvia; Unionida; Unionidae
Source: the annotation of a GenBank genome assembly